GCUAACGGCAGUUUAUCAGACGGGUCGGGAUUAGCAAAGAAAGGCUAAUAGGCAUUACAGCGGUAGGUAACAAAUCCGUAAGUCGAAAUGAGUUGGGAAAACCAAAUGAUACG
This 113-nucleotide non-coding RNA is filed under the name unclassified sequences. The record is from Rfam.